RNAcentral lists this ribosomal RNA (340 nucleotides) under uncultured Pseudomonas sp. Its description in RNAcentral is "bacterial SSU rRNA". It matches the Rfam family "Bacterial small subunit ribosomal RNA", at positions 1044 to 1382 of the family's 1533-position model. The record is from RNAcentral. Lineage: Bacteria; Pseudomonadati; Pseudomonadota; Gammaproteobacteria; Pseudomonadales; Pseudomonadaceae.
CAUGGCUGUCGUCAGCUCGUGUCGUGAGGAUGUUCGGGUUAAGUCCCGUAACGAGCGCAACCCUUGUCCUUAGUUACCAGCACGUUAUGGUGGGCACUCUAAGGAGACUGCCGGUGACAAACCGGAGGAAGUGGGGAUGACGUCAAGUCAUCAUGGCCCUUACGGCCUGGGCUACACACGUGCUACAAUGGUCGGUACAAAGGGUUGCCAAGCCGCGAGGUGGAGCUAAUCCCAUAAAACCGAUCGUAGUCCGGAUCGCAGUCUGCAACUCGACUGCGUGAAGUCGGAAUCGCUAGUAAUCGUGAAUCAGAAUGUCACGGUGAAUACGUUCCCGGGCCUU